Molecule: unclassified non-coding RNA, 186 nt
Filed under: uncultured fungus
Lineage: Eukaryota; Fungi
Description: sequence contains ITS1, 5.8S rRNA gene
Source: RNAcentral
AAGAGUUAGGGUCUCUCAGGCCCGACCUCCCAACCCUUUGUUUACUGAACCAUUGUUGCUUCGGUGGGUCCGUCUCACGACCGCCGGGGGGGACCCCUCCCUGGCCCGCACCCGCCGAUAGCCCAACCUUUUAAAAUCCUUUAUGAAUCGUGUCUUAUGUCUAAAUCAUGAUAAUAAAUCAAAUUA